AUUUAUAUACGUCGAUAAAAUUAUGUUUUCGUUUUGAAUGUCUUUUAAUAUUUUUUUGAUACAAUAUACAAUUGAGAAUGAAAUAAGGAAUGUUUCAAAGAGACAUAAACACGACCAAAGAGCAGAAAACAUUCAGGAACAGUCAAACUGUAUUUAAACUUUGUGCUGAAACUCCAAAACCAUCAACAAUUAACUUGGUCCAAUGACAAUAAGUUCUCAGAGCUUAAAUUUUUCAAAGAUCGACGUUUUAAAGAAGAGACAAGCGAGUAUAUA
This 273-nucleotide long non-coding RNA is filed under the name Mytilus galloprovincialis (Mediterranean mussel). Lineage: Eukaryota; Metazoa; Mollusca; Bivalvia; Mytilida; Mytilidae. The record is from RNAcentral.